AAUCAGCCCGCAAUAGCGCUUCAUAUAAUCCCUCUGAUACGGUGUGGGAGUUUCUACCAAAGGCCAAUAACCUUUGAUUAUGAAGUCAUUGUCUUUAUUU
This 100-nucleotide non-coding RNA is filed under the name Vibrio ezurae. RNAcentral describes it as "Guanine sequence". It matches the Rfam family "Purine riboswitch aptamer". From Rfam's summary of the family: Riboswitches are metabolite binding domains within certain messenger RNAs that serve as precision sensors for their corresponding targets. Allosteric rearrangement of mRNA structure is mediated by ligand binding, and this results in modulation of gene expression. The record is from RNAcentral. RNAcentral also lists the same sequence under 1 other name. Lineage: Bacteria; Pseudomonadati; Pseudomonadota; Gammaproteobacteria; Vibrionales; Vibrionaceae.